This 28832-nucleotide long non-coding RNA is filed under the name Vitis vinifera (wine grape). Lineage: Eukaryota; Viridiplantae; Streptophyta; Magnoliopsida; Vitales; Vitaceae. The record is from RNAcentral.
CGUGAGGGUUUUAGGGUUUAGAGACUCUACUCCUUAUAACACUAUAUAAACCCCCAACUCUUCUGCCUAUUCACAAAUUGCAUUCUUUCAGUCGUCAAGCUCUCAUCUAGGGUUAGGGUUAGGAUUAGGUUUGGAGUUUGAUUUUUUCUGUGUCUGCACGGCGCACCCCGGGCUUUUCCGAAAAUCUCAUGAAGAAAAAAGCCCCAAUGCGCGUGCUAAAGUGUCAGCCGUUAAGUGUUGCAGUUCAGCCCCAAAUUCUUACGGCUGAUCUGUGUCAAAUCAACUGCGACAUUCUUCAAUCUGUUUGCCUUCCCGGAUAUUUUGUUUUGCUAGAAGAAAUUAAGAGAAAAGAGGAGUAAAUUUGGAAUCUUUAAGAUAACUCUUCCGAUUUUUCUUCCUUUCUUUUUUUUUUUUUUCCCUUAACUACGAAAUUUUCAGAAACCAUAAAGAUGUGAUUUUGGGGUUAUCAUCGGCAGUGAUUACAUAUUAUCCGCGCUUCUGAGAGCUAUCAAUGAAGCAGAAAGAAAAAAGAUUUGGUUGAAUUUCUUGAUAUGAGCCAACUUAAUAUUUCUAGGGCAAAAUAUUUAAAGUAUUUAGAAUUUUUACUCAAAUUGUUGAGUGAUAUAUUUGAUUUAUAUUGGCGAUGAUGAAGAAAGGACAGCGUUAAAUGCCAGUUCUGCUUCAGAAAAUUCUUGAUUGAUAAGCUGUUAUUUACUCUGAGCCUCUCAUUCAGUUCAUAAAAUUUUGUGGAAAUCUAGAAAUAAUUUUCUGUUUGUAAUUUAGAUCUGUUGAGUUUGGCUGGAAUGAUGGUUAUUCUUAUACCUAGAUGAUAACCCACAAAUAAUGUUUUCCUUUUCCAUAAUAUUUAUGUUUUGGGUUUGAUUGUGAGCUUGUUAUAGUUUCAUGAUAGUGAAGAUAUAUCCAUGAUUUGGAGGUGUAGACAGCUCCAAGACUCUGUUUACAGGGAGAACCUACUUGGUUGCUACACUUUUUAUGAAAUUACUGGAUAUUUCUUAGUCAUCUGUAGAACUGUAUGCAUCUUAUUGUGCAGAUAUCCAUAUUUGCAAGCCUUCAUGGUAGAAAAUUAUUAUGUACAUUCUCUUUUUGUUCGUUGUGGGUUGUGUUGUGAGGAUUUGAUUUAAUUAAUGGUUUUGAGGUCGCUAAGUUACCAGUGAUGAUACAAUCCAAUUAAUUGAGACGUGGUGGAGCCAAGACCCUGUUUACAGGGAGAACCUACUUGGUGAAGCCACAUAUCAUAUGACAUCAAUGGAUUCAACUGAGGUGUAUUUAGCCGAUCCAAGUCCCUGUUUUUGUUUUUUUAUUUUUUUAUUUUUUUUAUUUUUUAUAAUGAGACCCUGCUAUGCAAAAUCGAUAUCUCAAUUUGAAUUGUGGGUCUGAGUUUUACUAUACUCUUUGCCAUUACACGGUUGGUAUAGAGUCUGAAAAACUCAGAAAGUGUGUGUUGUCAUCAGCUUCUUCUCUUGUAUGUCAACGAGAUUGGAGUUAAAUAACAGCACUACAUUAAAUCUUGGAUUAAUUUGCUAUACAUUAAUGAUUAAAUAAUAUCAAUCUUCCAUAGUUGACGUUGGUUUGCUUGGCAGGCUUGUUCUACAUUAAACCUUAGAUUGAUUUGCCAGCCAUUAAUGAUUAAAUAAUAGCAAUCUUAAAUGGUUGGUGUUGGUUUUGCUUUCUUGUUGGCAGGCUUGUUCUAACUUCAGCAACUGUCAAUGAGCAUUUGCAGAAGGCAUUUGGACAUUAAUGUGAGAGAACUUGGAGGGUGAAUUCAUGUGGGUUUGUGAUAUUAUUAUCAGGAAAGAGCUUUGAUUAUUAUUAGCAACCGUGUGUAUGAUUAAUAAUCAAUCUUUCAAAUUGUAUACAUUGUUUUAUUUAAUAAAGGAUUAAUUUGGGUUGGUUUCAUGGCGUGCACUUUCCUGUACUGCAGUGGUGGUACUCACUCCAAUAUUUGUCUAGAGUAGGCUUUGUAAGUAGCCAAUUUUCCCACUUAACCAUUUUGAUAUGGGAUUACUGUUGAGCGGUUUCCUUGCCCAAAACUUAAGGUUCAUGCUCGCUUGAAUUACAUGACACAUUCUGGCAAAGCAUAUCCAGAUUGUAACAGCCACUCGGUUGCCAACAUUGCCAGGCAAGAGUUUCUGCUGACAUGGUUGAAUAGUUCAGCAUUUGGGCUUCUUGGUUCAGAUGUCUGUCAGCCUCUCAAAAUUAGAAUUUGACCUCAGUGUACUCUGCUUCAAGCUUUGCAAAAGUUGAUGACUUGUUCUCUAGCAAUCUAGCCGGGGUGUCAUAUUCCUCACUAAGCCCUGCACCAACAUUUCCAUGAAAAAAGAAUCAAGAAAAUGGAUUGGAAAGAUUUACAACUUUUGAGAGAAUAACAUGCGGGUGGCCGAAUCUAUUGUGCCAAAUAUCAAAAUUAGAAGUUGCAGCCAGGUGUAGCAUCAGAGAAGAUGAAAUCUGAUUCUUUUCAAGAAAUUUCCUUGGAUAGAGUUUGCAAAGGUGAUAUUCAACUAGACUAUAGAGCAUAAUUUUCUUUGAAUCUAGGUUCUUAACAAGGAAACAAGAAAGGAAAAACUUAAUUGAGCCUGAAUUAUCAAAACACAACCUAUGAACACUAAAAAGAUUUGAAGAAAUAUGAGGUACUUGAAGAACAAAAUGAAGUAAUAAAGGACUAAUGAUUUUAGAUGAAGAGUGGCAUGUGAGUCUAACGACCAAGAAGAAUCACUGGUGGUAACAAGAGGAAAAAAAAGUUUGCAUUGACCAUGGUUUUAAAAAUUAGACUUCAGUCCGAUCAAUUGGCCUGAAAAUAGGUUGAGCCGGUGGUCCGAUCGGUGAAUCGAAUGAAUCGGUCAGUUUCUUUCAAAUCGGACAGUUCGAUUAUUAUUAUUAUUAUUAUUAUUAUUAUUAUUAUUAUAAUUUAUAGUAUCAAAACGACGCUGUUUUGGAGGAUAUAAAUCACCUUCCAAACCUUUCCUCUUGCAGUUCGAACCAUAGAAGCUGUUGUCCCCAAUGCGCCGCAAUACCCACGUUGGGACAACUCCCAUCGGCAACCUGGAAGCCUUGCAAAACCUCCCCUCCAUCGAUCGUUACAAUGUCGCAUCUUCUCCUUGUGCCGUUGCAAGCGUCUCUCGUCGCCGUAAACUCCCCACCCCCCUGUGUUGUAAACCCCCACCCAACCCACUUCGACCAGUAGCUGCAAGCCUCCCCUCGACCGACUAUAAACCCCUCACCCCUCGGUUGCAAACCCACCCCACUUGACCCACUCUAAGCAAUCGCUGCAAGCCUGCAAAGGUUUGAUAUUUUCAAAAUUAUUUUUUAUGUUUAAAAUAAUAAUAUAUAUUUAUGAGGUCAUCGGUUCGACUGCGGUUCAAUUGCCGAUCUGACCAGUGAACAGUGAAUCGGUAACUUUUCCGAUUUUGAAAACAUUGGCAUUGACUGUUGGUUUGAGGACUGUAGAUGUAAUAUGUGAGAUGUCUUUUAAUUUACCACAUACUUGUUACUAGGAAAUUGAGGAAAAUUCCUUUGAAACUUCUUGUUCCAUAAAGAUUGAUUGAUACAAAAGUACUUUCUUAAUUCUUGUUCAACUUUAAAUUGUGAAACUAUAAAUUGAGAUUAAAAGGAUUUUGAAUUCGAAAUUGUUGCAUUUUUCUAAAAACCAAGAUUCUAAGGGUGAUUUUCCUUGGUAUCAUUAUGAAAAUUAUAUUGAAAAUCUUGGAAACCAUUUUGAAACCAAGUUUGUUUUACUUCUUUGUUGAUAGGAAGCAAAUUUGCUUAUAUUAUGAGAACUCAUUUUGCUUUCAAAGUAAGAAGCAAAGUAUGAAUCUCUUAAAGAUUUAUUGGUUUCUUAUGUGAUCAAGUACUAAGAAUAAAAAAUGAAUUGCACUUUGAGUGCAGAAAACCAAGCAGAUAGAGAAUAUGAUCUCUAAUUGAGAUUUUUUCUUUAGUUGCCCUCAAAUUGUAGCAGAGGUAAAAUAAAUUCUCUCAUACAUGGUUAUCAUUUACGAUACUUGAAAAGAAAAAUGAACCAAAGAGAAAUGAAGCUUCACAUAACUUUAUUUCUACUUACAAGAGUGUUUCUAUUUCUAUUUAGAGGAAAACUCUACGGUGCCUCCGAAGGUAUCAUGCCUUCGUUUUAUUUCAGUCAUUGGAUAGAAAAAAUUUCAUCUCAGCCAUCCAAAUUAAAAGUUAACAAAAAAAAAAAAUCCCCCCUGAAAUCGGGUACCUCCCCUUCCUGUUCUUUUCCAAUUUUCCCAUCUUUCCCCCUAAUUUGCUCUUUUCUCCAUACUCAUCCUCCGCAACCGGCCGGGUACUUGUUUUCUCCCAUUUUUUCUCGACUUUUCCCCUAAUUUUCCUCUUUUCUCCAUACUCAUCCCCCACUUAUCUCCACAUCUAUGUUUUUCGAUUGAUUUGUGCAUUUCGGCUCUUCUCCGGGUACCUAUGUUUUCCGUUUUUCUCCAUCGGUUUUUAUUUUCGAGUGUUUUCGGUUGUCUUCGUGUGUUGUUGGGUGUUUUCGGGUGAGAUAUUCUAGCUAUUUCGGGUGCUAAAUUUUUGAUGUAGGAGUGACAUUUUUCAAACUUCUCUAUUUUCUCCAUUUCCCCUGUGUUUAUGUGCAUAUUUCAUUUUCAUAUUUGGGGUUUUUUCGGGUUUUCAAGUAAAGAGUGCGAUAUUCCCGCUCCCCACUUUCUUCUCCAUAUCCCUGAUUUUCUUCAUAUUUCAUAUUUGGUUUAAGAGUUGUAAGGGAGUGUUUUCGGGUUUUAAACUUUCUGGUUUGAAGACCCGAAUUGAAGAUGUAGUUGGAAGAAGAAGAAGACGACGACGUAAAGUACGAAGAAAAAGAAAGUUGAAAAGGACAUAAUUUAUUGUGAAUAAAAAAGCGGUUGUAUUGUAAUUAUUUGCGGAUUCUAUAUUAAAAAAAAUGUGAGUAUUGAUAAUGUGUUUUACAAGAUUGUAUCCAUUAUAUUUCAUGUUUUUUAUUAGAUUUAUGGAUUGAUCACAUUAAUGAAAAAUAAUGUGAUUAGAUCCAUAACUGAACAUUAAAAAUAAUUUAUAUGCUAAUUUUGUUACUAGUGAAAAUUUAGAGAGAUUUAAGGAGGAUUUUGGAGUGGUAAUGAUAUUUGUAUUUUAUUUGACAUUUGAUUUAUUGUAGUAAGAUAUGAAUAUAAAAUUUAUUGAAAUGUGAAAAAAAAACUUACGUUGAGAUAAUGUGGUGGUGGAAGUAUAUUUGAUUUAUUAUAUCUGUAUUAUAAAAAUUGACUUAAAUGAUUUGAUUUAAUUUUUAGGAGCGAGUGCGAUGCUGUUGAAGUUGUUAGAAAUCAAAAUAGACCUAUCGGAACUUGGAUACAUUACUAGUAAGGGAAAAUAGAAAUACGUAAAAGAAUAUGUUUUAUUUAUUUAUUUAUUUGUGGUUGUUAUAGUUAUAUUUGUUUGAAAUUAUUUUGUAGUAACGAUCAAUUGGCCAUGAUCAAAGAAAAUGAUAGAAGAGUGAAGAUAAAUGAUGAUGUAAGGAGUAAUAUUGUUGUGGUUAAUAUAAUUAAAUUUUAAAUUUUGAAUUUGAAAUAAGUGACAACUUAGUUCAAUUGAGGAAAAAAUUGAGCAAGAAGUGGAAUGCACUUUCAAAAGUAGAAAAAGAAGAUUUCAUGAUAAAGUCAAAAGAAAGUUCAAAACAAUAUUCGCUUCAAAAGGGUGUGGGUCCAAAGGUAAAUUUUUUGUAAUGAAUAAAAAAUUUCAUUACUUAUAUAUUUGUUGCAAAUUAUAUUUAUGUAAACAUGUUUGAUGCUCCCACGAGCGAGUAAUUAGAGUUAUUGAAGAAUUAGAACUAAAGCAAAAAACAGCCAUAGAAGAAAUAGGAUUUGGUAGCCUCUUGCAAUUUCGAUAUAGGAAAAUUAAUCAUGGGUUAUGUCUUUGGUUGAUAAAUAGUUUCAAUCCGAACACCUGUAUGUUAGAGUUGUAUAAUACUUGUAUCAAAUUAUCCUCGAUUGAUGUUGAAUUUAUUAUAGGAUUAAGGGCAAGAGGGUUGAAGAUUGACAUGAACAAAGAUGUUAGCAAUAAGAAUGAUUUAUGUAAAAAAUAUUGUCAUAAAAAAGGGCGAUUGCCAUUAGUGAUGUUAGAAAAUCAAAUUAGGGAGGAUAAAGAAGGUGGAAAUGAUUUCAAGUUCAUUUUGUAUUAUUUGUGUUGAGUGCAUUAUUGUGCCCAACAAUGAAGUUUUUGUGAAAUGUUUUUUCUUAUAUCUUAUGGAAGAUAUCGAUUCAAUAAAGAAGAUGAAUUGGGAUGAAUUUGUUUUGUCUUAUCUUGUGCACGGGAUCAAAGAGUUUAAAAGGAAACAACAAAAUGGAGUUUCCAGUUGCUUAUUGUUUUUUAUGGUAAUGUCCUUAUACAUAAUUUACAUCAUAGUGAAUUUCGAAUUUGUUAUAAUAAAUUUUGUGAACUAACUAUAUAUCUAUGUAAAAUAUAAUUGCAGUUAUUCUACCACAAGCAUAUAUCGUUCCAACAGAAAUUUCCACCAUUAUAUACUCAACUUUUUCCUCGGAUUACUGCUUGGGGAGAUGAUGAAGUACUGGAUAUAAAAUGAAGAUUGAAAAAACUCGGUGGAUAUGCAAAUGACAAUGUAAGUUAUAGUUUCGAAAUUUGUUUAAUAUUUGUUUUUAUUUUUAGUGAUUUUAAAUAGGAUAUGUGUGAUAUAUUGAUGAAUAUAUUGUAAGUGAAAAUAUGGGUGAUACAAAAUGAGAUAAGAGAUUGCGUUGAUGAAAAUGAGAUGACAAUGGAAGAGGAGAAUGAGGAGGAUGAGAAAUUUGAAAUCCAUCCAAACAAAGAUGUUAUUAAACGAGUAAGUGUUACAAUACUCAUCGUGAGUAUAAAUAUUAGUAGUGAACCCUUGUAUUAUGAUGUUAUUAAUCAAGUUCCUAUAUAUCACUAGGUUGAUGGUGGGAGCUUAAUGGAGAUGGAUAAAACAUUUUAACAAUUAAAGACACAUGUAAUUGAUUAGUGUCAUGUCGCAAGUAGUAGUAGCUGUGAAUUUUUUUUUUACUGAAUUUGAAGAGAAAUAUACAACAUUGAAAGAACUCUUCCUUGAGUUAAGAGAAAAACCUUUGAGAGAGCACGAUGAGGGAACAAAGAGUGAAAUUCUUUCAUGCGAGAAAAGUGUGGAAGAGAAGGACAAUAAAAAAGGAAAUGAACAUUAUGUUGACACUUUGUCAAUUGACAAAUUAUGCACUAAGGACAUGAAUGAAAAAAAUGAAGAUGUGUGUGCUACAUCAAUUGAAAUGCUUAUCAUUCCCGAUGAAAAUGUAGAUAUUUUACCACUUCUAAUCAAAAGAGCUAGAAAAGAUUAUGGAAAGGUAUAUAUAAUAUAAAAAAAUUAUUUUUGUUACAACUACUUAACCAUUACAUAGUAAAUAUAUGUAUAUUAAUGACAUUUUCCAUAUUAGGAACCAUUACCAGCACUAUAUGGUAUUCCUGAGAAUGUCAUGAAAACACGUACAUUGAGGGAGAGGAAACCAAGUAAAUUCAAGGUCUCCCCAUUCGUACACAAUUUAAGGAAGAUGAGAAAACGUUAAGUAUCAAAUGUAUAAUACAAAUAGUUUAAUACCAUGUUCUUAUUUUUGAUACACAAAAUAUGUAGCUAAUAAUUAUGUCUUGUUUUCGAUUUAGUCAAUCCCCAUGUCCAUUCGUGAAGACGUGGUGGAUGCUCAAUCAUUCAAUGUACUUCAAUCUCUUGUUGCUGAUUAUGUUUUCAAUAAAUCAUUGUCAACAAGGUUUGUAGUAUCUAGAAUAUUCAUAGAUGCGUUGUUACAAUUUUAGCCUUCAUAUUUUCCUAUGUGUGUAAAAAAUGUUUUAUCAUAUUAUUGUUGUAGUGAGCUUCUUGUUGACUUCGAUCAUGAACAUUGAGUACAUGGAGAUUUAGAGUACUUACAUCCCAGGCAAAAUUUGUUGGAUGUUGUAAGUAGAUAUUUGAUUUAUAUCAAAUGAGUUCUUUAUUAAUGAAAUAAAUUUAUUAAAGUUAUUGGUUAACAACAGGUAAUAAAUCUAGAAGCAUCAAAGCUAAAUUAUUUUGAGAGGCAAUUCAUAAGCAUACGAGUAUAAGAUGCUAUCUUCCCAAGACAUUUUCAGUAAGCUCACAUUUGUCUUGUUGUUUAGUUACAUAUUAAGUAUAAUAUACUAAUAUUAUUCAUAUUAUGUUGUAUUAUUAGCAAAUGAUUUUGUGCAGGAGUCUUCAACCUUUUUUUUAUAGAAAAACAUCCAUCGUGAGUAAGUAUAUUAAUGAAUUGGAUGAUUGCGAGAAGGUUAGUAAUUAUUUUUAAUGUUUAAUUGCAUAUAUCAAAGUUUGAGUGUAUAUUGUUUUCACCUACAAUAGAGUAGAUAUUUUGUGCACUAAUCCAUUGAUAUUGUUUUUCUAACUUUAUAACUAUUUAUUUCAAUGCAUGAAAAUUGCCCCGGUCAUUGGUAUCUUUGCGUCAUUGACUUUAAAAACUCUCAUAUCCAAAUUUUGGAUUCAUUGUGAUCAAGGAGUCGGGAUGAGUUUUGAUUUAAGAGUGUCAAAACAGUGGUAUGCUUUCAACUAUUUUUUUCUCCAUCUUACAAUUAUUAACACUUUCAAAAUAAAUUAGGUUGAAUUUUGUCAAACGUUCUACAAACUCUUUGACAUAGGGAAAAAUGUCUUCCAAUUCUCCAUUGAUUAGGCUCCUUCGAUUCCAACCCAAGAUAAUGGGUUAGUAUGAAUAUAUAACUCACAUGAAUAUUAUUUAUCUGAGCUAUAAUUAUACAUCCAUUUAUAAGUUGUUUUGCUUUUCUUAUAUUUUUCUUUGGUGGGACUGUGGAGUGCAUGUCAUUAAACAUAUGCAGACAUUCUAAAAUGGUGAUUGCAUGAAGGCCUCUAACUUAUGUAAUUUUUUAAAAAUACUGUGAAACCAAGGUUUGGUUAAUCUUGAUUUUGAUGAUAACAAAACAAGGUUUAAAACUGAUGAUCAUAUUUCAAGUGUGAUUAGGUAAGACGAUUUCCAAAGUGGCAAUCAUAAAGACAAAUCAAUCCAAGGAGAAAUCAUGAAGAAGAAAACCACCUCAAAGAUAAGAGUUUUUCAAGACCAAAGCUUCAUAAAAUCUCUUUGUAAGGCUAUUGGUGCACUAGGACUUUCAAGCAUUUCAUUCUUUAUUUAUGCACCAAAAUCAUCCAAGAGUAAUAUUGUUUUAAAUAUCUUAAGAAUUGGAUGAUUUCAUGUUUUCAACUAAAACCUUGUGUUAAAUGAUUUUCAAACUUGUGUUAAAAGGUUUUAAGUUGAAAAAGAUUGGGUGUUGAGCCAAAAAAUGGCUCAACCUGUCGACCGGUUGUGCUCGUCCAGUUGAGGACCGCUUGAGGGAGGCCAAAAAGUUUCUCUCUCUCCCAGUGACCUUCUCUUCCCAGUCAAGGUUGAACCUCAACUGGUUGAGGUCCGGUCGAGGUCCGGUUGAGACCCAACGGUCACUUGCCAAGCAUUAAAUGCUAACGGCUAGUCAACCGGUCGACCCCUAGCUCGACCGGUCGAACCCCCAACGACUAGUUUGACUUUUUUCUUCUAUAAAAAAGCUUCAAUAUUCAUUGUUUCAUAAGCUUAACCUUCCCAAAUCUUUCUUGAUUAUAUUUGAGCCUUGGAAGAGUAUUUUUGAGUGCACUAUUAUUUCAAAACUUGCAUAUUCUUAGUGCACCAUUCAAUCCUAGUUUUUCUUGUAUAAAUUAACCUUAAAGUUCUUGUGCUAGGAUUUUUGUAAUAUCUUUUAAUUGUAAACCCUUGAGAGUAAGUUGUUCAAGAGAGGGAUAUCUCUUGAGAAGUGUAAAGGGUGCUUGGAGCCAAAAGUCCGAUAGGGUGAAUUGGAACCAUAAUCCAAUUGUAUUGCUUGAAGGCUUGGGUUGGAAGCCUUGGAUUAAUGAAACCUCAAGCUCGGGAUUGAAGUUAGAGGAGAGUGGAUGUAGGCCGGGUUGCGUCGAACCACUAUAAACUCUUGAGUUUGCAUUCUCUCUUCCCUACUCCUUAAUUUAUAUGCAAUUGUCUAUAUAUUGCUUAUUAUAUACUUGCAUAUAAUUGUCUCUUGCAUUCACUUGUUUAAAUUUGCGAAAAGAGACCAUCACCCUAUUCACCCCCCCUUUAGGGUGAUUACCAUAGGUUGGAUUAGCCUCAAAUUCCUAACAAAUACGUUGGGAAAUAGCAAGUGAUUUAGUUUUACACGAGGGAAACAGAGAAAAACAAACCAUUUUGGCUAUUGUUUGUACAAAUACAUCCACAAGAGCAAUGAGAAGAUUAUUAUUAUGACAUUUGUUGUUUUUCCAAUAUUUAUCAUUUCCAUAUCCACAUAUGGUCAUGUUCAUGGGAAGUUCUGACAUUGGAUGAGCAUACAGGGUUGAUGAUUAGUUCGUUUUAUUUGAAUAUGCUAUACUUUUCUUUGAAUAUGCUAGGCAUAAUGAAAUUGUAAUAUAUAGCAUCAUUCAUUUUCUACAUGUAUGAUUUUCUACGUUUGUUAGGUAUUUAGAUGUUUUUUUCUCCCUCUAUACUUUGGGUUGCUUUUUCAAAUAUAUAUAUAUAUAUAUAUAUAUAUAUAUAUAUAUAUAUAUAUAUAUAUAUAUAUUCAUUUAUAUAUGCAAAAAAAUAUAGUAUAAGAGCUUUUCAUUCAAAGGGUAUAUAGUGAGUACCGGUGGGAAGAUAGGUUAGCCGAUUCAUAUUUAGUGGUCAACUUGUGUGAAUUAUAUCGAGGAAUUGUAAAGGUAGUGUGUAUUGGUUCCAUUAUAAUUUUAGCCUAUAUGUACUGGUCGAUUGGUUCCAAUUAUUUCACAUGCAAGUAUUGGAUGCAGUGUCUAUCAAUUGAAGAUUUCACACGAUCGACAGAACCCAUUUCUCAACCGGUUGAGAAACUAUUAGAUGUAGUGUCUACCGACUGAGGAGUUCAAACAAUUGACAGAGGCCAUUUCUUAACCAGUUGAUAAACUAUUGGAUGCAGUGUUUACCGGCUGAGGAAUUCACACGACUAGCAGAGACCAUUUCUCAACUGGUUGAUGCCAAUUCACCAGUUGAGUUGUUCAAUGCAAUCAUGCAAUUUCUUCCAGUGGCUACCGAUUAAGAAAUAACUAUAAUCGGUAGAGGAAAAUUUUCAACCAAUUAACAUUGGUGAUUAAGCCAUUAAGUACAUUUUUGAGGAUGAGAAAUGAUGGAAACUAUAAUUCCAAAUUACCAAAUUAUGAUUUACUCAAAUUGACAUAUAUCAUUACAUUUACCAAUUUCAUAUGAAUUAAAUCGAAUCAAUUACUUUCCUACAGGUAAUUCAUAACAUUAAAACACUAUACCUAAUUUUUGAAUCAUCAUUAUAAGUAAUUGAUUACAUUAAAAAGUGCUAGUAUGCUUCCACAUUGGUAUAAAUCAAUUAAUUUAUGGUUUCAAUGAAAUUAAUUUAAAGUAAGAGAAUAUUGAAUUACAAUUAAAAAAAUAAAUUAACACCAAUACCAAAUUAAUUACAUUGAAACUCCAAACCUAUACUCCUACAAUGAUAUAAAUCAAUCACUUUGUCAUUGCAAUGAAAUUAAUUGAAAGUAAGAGAAUAUUGAAUUACAUUUCAAUUUCCGACUUAACACCAAUACCAAAUGAAUUACAUUUAAAUAUUGAUACUAUACUUCUACAUUGAUAUGAAUAAAUCAAUUUACCACUUUCAAUCACAAGUUUUUUCUUUGAAUCCCAAAAUUAUGCAAUACUUUAUUUAAGAUUACAUAUUCACCAAAGUGAAAAUAUCAAGGAGCAUAAGUACUCAUUUGUAUCAACUAUAGCUCACUGCAUUAAGGAAUACCAAUACCUAAACUUAGCCUAUGUGUUUGUUUAGAAGAAUUUUCACUAGUUGUUUUUUGAGCCGACUGGUGAGGAUAGGAUUGUGGCCAUCUAUGGUUCAUUCCAUUUUCCUUUUCAUUUAAUAUCCAUUUACCAUAUGCAUUUAAAAUCUACUUUUAAAUUAUAGUAUGCACAUCAACUGCCAACGUGUACUGGUGGAGAAUUAGUUGAACAUGUACCACUAGAGAGGUGGCUCGGAUUAUUUAUGGGGUCCAAAGUCAAAGGCAAACAAUACCUAUCUAGCUUGAGGGGAUCUAAUUCCAUUGUACAUAUCUAUCGGUAGUGCUUGGAUGACCCCUAAAUGUUGUAGUGUGAACCGGUUGAUUCAUCGAACUCAACCAAUUAUGUAGCGAUCAACCGAAAUAAAGUCAAUCUCAUGGGCAUAAAACUUGUAGUGCCUAGUGGUUGAGAAAUUUAGUCUACUAGUUGAGAAAUUUCCUCAGCAGGUAGGACUCUAUUGGUUCUACAGUAAUGUACAUAUCAAAUUUGGGGGAAAUAAAUGGAAAGCAUGAGGCCAAAUUAUGAAGUUUUCCAUUUAGUGGUAUAGUUUGAACUUCACAUAAUUGUAAAACUUUAACCACAUUUUCCUUUAAUUAUAUUCGCAUGCAUAACUAUAUUUUGAAAAUGAUAUAAAUGAAUCGAUUUCUCGUUUGAUCAAUCAUUUUACCACUUGUAAUCAAUUAAAUUAUAAAACUAGAGGAUAGUGAUUUCUAUCAAUCAACUUGACUAUAGUUCCAAAUUCAUACUUAUAAUUAAAUACUUGGUUUAAAAGUACAUAUUACCCAAAGUCUUAACGUCAAAUGAUAGAAUUACUGAUUUAAUAACUUCCAUCUUUUACUCCAUUAAGGAAUAAAAAAAAGGCUACAUAUCAUUUUCAUUGGGAGUAUCGUUUGGAUACCCACCUUCACAUGGUGUUGUAAUAGUUUCUUCAUAUUGCUGAAAUCCUGGUACCUACACAUGGACAUUCCAUGGUUAAAAUUGACCCGUCUAAUUCCAUUGCAAUUACUUCAAAAAAAUCAUUCAGUAAUCCAUAGUUAAAAUUAAUGUUUGAAAUGUGUUUGUUUGUCGAAGUUACAUUGACAAGUGCGCCGAAAUCUAUAUACAUGUUAAAUGGGUCAUUCCACAAAUGCUCCGCUCGCAUUCCCUGCAUUUUCAAAGAUUAAGUGAUGUCAAUUACUGUUGAAUUAGAUGUUAUCAAAGUUUAUGUUGUUAUAUAACAAGCCUAUUGUACAUGAUGUAAGGUUGCAAACAUGUCAACUGAACAAUUUGAUAAAGGCAUCAAUUCCAUUUCAAUGUCACAUUGGGAAGACAAUUACUUUCCUGCACCAUACUCAUAAUGUAAUGAAAACAAUUAUGUUAGUUAUAUAUGUAAGUACAACUAAAAUGCAUAAGUUUUGUGGCAAAUGUUUAUUGAAUCUUACAUACCAUAUCACGCUGAUUACCAGUAUGAGGGAUUGUAGCUUUUGGACACUUUUGAAUUGUGUGACCUACUAUUUUACAACGACUACACCGUCUUCCAUUUUGAAAUUUUGAUGCAACUUUGUCUGGAUUUCCUUUAGUGUUCACUAUAUUUGGAUCACGAACUUGGUGAGGACUUGUGGCUCCAUCUGCUGCUAAUUUUUUCAAUUUCAAAUUAUUCUUAUAGAGUUCCUCCAUUCUCACCCUUAAAUUUUCUAUUUCAUUAUUCACUUCUAGAAAUAAAGAUGAUGUAUGUGAUGCAUAGUAAGAGAGCUUGUUGCACAUUGAACUCAAUGAAGCAUAUCGUACAAUCCAAUCCAUGUCGUUAUCCGUCUCAUUCACCGGUGGUGAUCUUGGAUGCACCUUUGCUAACUUUGUCCACCUCUUCAAAAUACAUGAAAGAAGAAUCUCUUCCAAAUGCUCUACCUUCAUAACAACAACCAUGUGACAACAAGGGAUGCCAAUUGACUCAAACAUCAUGCAUGAGCAUUUUAAUGUUACAAUAUUCAACCAAAAUUGGACUUCCUAUUUAAAGUUCGGGUGUUUAAACUUAGAUAAUGUGUAUGCCCACAUUAAAUCAUCACUUACAAGCUCUACUACAAAGAAUAACUCUACAUUCUUCAUUUUCUCACGAAAUUUAAGGAAGGUUUCCUUCGUGUAUAUAGUUGCAACAUGAUUUUCAAGUAUGGAUAGUUUGGUUGAAAGAACGAGUGAAGAAUUGUUCGACUCAAACUCUGUCUUUGCCUUAUUUUUUUGAAUUCUCAUUAUCGCCCUAUCGAAUUGUUAUACAAACUCAUAUCAUUGCAAACGAAUUUUCAAGAAUCUAUUUAGAUAUGCAUUCGUACUUUCACACCUUUGUGUGCUUCUCAUCUCUCUAAACAAAUUUCCCUGUAAAUACUCCUCAACCCAUCUUUUGCGUUUCGCAUAAAUCUCGGUGACCCAACGAUUCCCAUUAAGAUCCAACUUUUCAACUAUUUCAUGUCAAGCCUUUUUGAAUUCUUCCGGAUUCUCUCGUAUGAACAUGCACCUUACAAAGAUGCUUGUAAAAUCCUUAAUAUACACCUUCGUGAAUGCAUUUCGUUGCAGAUGCCAUGAACACAUGCGAUGACACGCAUCGGGAAUGACUUUUUUUAAUUGCCUUACACAUUGCUUUAUCCCCAUCAAUUGCUAUAGAUAUGAGUUUCUUAUUCAUCAUUGCAAUAAGAAAUGUUUCCAACACCCAUUCAUAUGUAGCAAUACUUUCAUCCAUCAAUAGCGCACAACCAAAUACCAUUGUUUGGUGGUGAUGAUUAACACCAACCAACACGACUAAGGGUUUUUUUUAUUGGCAUUUGUCCUAUAGGUUGUAUCAAAUGCUAGCACAUCUCCAAAACACACAUAAUUCAUUUGAGUAGUUGAAUUAACCUAAAACAAGUUUUCUAGUUGACUUUUUUCAUCGACUUUGAAUUUAUAAAAAAUUGAAGAAUCCAUUUCUAACUUUCCACACAAGUAAGCCAAAACGACUUCUACAUUAUCAUCUUUAAUUUUAAUUCUACACAUUGCAUCAAUGUGAUUGUAUAUAUAUUUUUGUGUGAAACCAUCAUGCUGAUGUCCUUCUGAUUGUUUAACCUUAUAGUCCAUAAUUUGUGUUGUUUUAACACCAACUUUACAUAGAACAUCAACUUAUGCCUCAUCUGGAUUACUUACUGUCCGAUGAGAUUGAAAGAAUUGUGUGUUGAUAGCAUCGACCAAAUGAUGAUUAUGUUCUCCUCUAAAUUCCUUUACAAUCUACUUUCCAACUUUUCUAUCCAAUCUAAUACGAAAUGCAGCUUCACAUCCAACUCUAGUCAACGAUCAUGGCUCACACUGUCGAUUGUCAAUUUGAAUAAACUUUGUCACUUGAUGUCUUUCUUUGGAACACACCCACUUUCGAGAUAUUAUAUAUCCAUUCUUGUCUCGUUUCAAAUCAUCUUUUUGAAUACUAAAUCUGGUAACUUUGAAAAACAAGUUGUAAAAUGUUUCAACCUCAUCUAUGCAAUUGAAUUGCAAUUUUUAGAAUUCUUCAAUCGAAAUACCCUUCAACACCUUCUCUUUCAAAAAAUUUGCAUCAUAGUGGUAACUCCCGCUAGUAUAUGUAUUAUCAUGGACCAUAUCAUCAAGUUUCACUUCAAAUUCCUGCUUGAUUGUUUUCUCCAUCGCCGAUUGCAACACCUACAUUUUAGAAAACAUGUUAAAAAUCGUUGGAAUAAGACCUUAAUGAAGGAUCAUAUCACUUUUAUAUAAAUCAAUUACAUAAUUCCAGUCAACCUAUAAUGCAUACGUCAUCCAUUUUUGAGGUUGUCAGUACCGGUUGUCAUGGUCAAUUCGACCGGUUUCAAACUGGUCGACCUAUUGGUGUUUAUAUUGAAACUGCUUUUACUUUGCAGUGUUUAUUGGCUAAAGGAAAAAGUCAACCAGUUGAGAAAAAAUUCAACCGGUAUACACUAGACACAUGAGUCUUUCCCCCAUUAAUUUGAAAUAAAAAAUGUCAACUGAUGAAUACUACUAAGAAUGUGUUAUAGACAAUGAUAACCUUCAUUUUUUUAAACAAUAUAUAUAUAUAUAUAUAUAUAUAUAUAUAUAUAUAUAUAUAUAUAUAUAAUUUUAAAAUUACAAAUAGGUUUGGGAAAUAUUUUCCCCAUCCAUUUGAAGGUUAGGGGUAGUUACAUUGAAAAAACUAUUAUGGUUUUGUUUAACAAAUCAUUAUUGAGUUAAGGAUGAUACCUUGACAAUGGAAAGUGCAAGUGUGAUGCAACUUCAACUGAAGAAUUGUCUUCUGGAUGUUUUUUUGUAUGCAAGGCUCCAAUAAAGAGAAGACCUCGUUCACUCUCCAGCUCUCUUAGAAAAUGUUGCUUUCCAAAUAACUACUAACAUAUCUAGGUGGUUGGUUGUUGAAGUAAUUACAUAUUUGAAUAGGUUGCCACAUGUAGAAAAACAACUUGUACAAUGGUACACUUGGUGGUUGAAAGUUACCAUUUUUGCUUCAUUUUAUUAGGUGACAUUAAAUAGAACAAUAAUAGGUAGGAGAGAAAGUCAGCCUAAUGUGGAUGAUUACACAUUUAAAAUGGAUCUAUGUAUAACUUUACAAAAUAUAAAGUGGAGAUAUGGACUUGAUUUAUAAUAUUUACAUUUCUCAAUGGAGUUUACCUUAAUUAGUUUAAUUAAGUUGUCAUACUAUAUCCUACAUAUGAGAAAGGUUAGUUAAUUAACCUGAAUUAAUUUAUAUAAGCUAUCGUACUAUAUCCUAGUUAUUAAAAAUUUAAUCAAUUAACCUUAAUUAAUUUAAUUCACGUAUGAUGUUAUAUCCUAAUUAUGAGAAAUAUUUUUCAAUUAACCUGAAUUAAUUUAAAGGCCGCUAUCGUACUAUAUGCUAGUUAUUCUAAAUUUUAAUCUCUUUCAUUUUGGCUAAUUUAAUUAAGACAUCAUCCUAUAUCCUACUUAUGAGAAAUGUUAGUUAAUUAACCUGAAUUAAUUUAUAUAAGCUAUCGUAUUAUAUCCUAGUUAUUACAAAUUUUAAUCAAUUAACCUUAAUUAAUUUAAUUCACAUAUGAUGUUAUAUCCUACUUAUGAGAAAUGUUUUUCAAAUAACCUGAAUUAAUUUAAUAAUGUUGUCAUACUAUAUCCUAGUUAUUAUAAAUUUUAAUAUAAACACCUUAAUUAAUUUAAUGAAGUUGUCAUAGUAUAUGGUAAUUAUUAUAAGAACAAAAUAAUUACCCUGAAUUAAUUAAGUGAAGGUAUCAUACUAUCCUACUUAUUACAAAUAUCAGUCAAUUACCCUGAAUUAAUUUAAUUAAGUUAUCAUACUAUAUUCUACUUAUUAUAAAUUUUAUUUAAUUAACCUCAAUUAAUUUAAUUAAUCUAGAUCCAAAUAUUUUUUCAUAUAAUCAUUGACAAAUUAAAUGAGAAGUAUGAGAAAUUUGAAAUUAAUAAAAUAGAAAAAAAAUAAUGUUUCAUCUAUAUAGGACAUUAAUUUAAUUAAAAUGUCCCAGUCUUAAACUAUAUGCAUUUUCAUUUAAUAGCAAGGUCGACCAAUCUAGGAAACCCACUUAUAAUCCUCAACCCUUCCCUCUUCUCUUCCCUUGAACUUCAUCUUCCCGAAAUACCUUAACCCGAAAUCAACUUACCAUGGCACCAAAACGAGCACCGGCAGAAGCAAGCUUUCCCCAGGAGGACUUUUAUGCUGAGUCAAAUGACUCUACAACAAACUACCUUCAAGAUAAUGAAGAUGAUUGUGAGGGUAUUUUCCCUCCAAUAAGGAAAUCAAAAUAAGAUUCCUUUCAGUCAUAUGACAUCAUCAAGCUCUCUCCAUUCAAGCUUCUCAUGAUGCUCCACAAAUAAGAAUAUUCUUCAGAUAAGUAGUUUCAACACUGAAAGCAUCAAGCAUGUGACUCUACAGUCCAAAGCAGCCUGUCAAUCAUCAUCACUCAGCCGAAAGUAAGAUUCUCGGUGAAAAAGUCUAAAGUGCUACAGUAGAAAGUGACUUUUACUGUUCACUUUUACUAUUCACUAUUCACUCAUGAGAUUACUAUUCAUGCACGGGUUUCAAAAGCAAACAGUGCUCUAUUUCCUGAUUGGUACUGUUUAAUAUUCCAUUUUUAGCUAUUUAAGGAGGCUCGAUCCUCAUCUGUAAGCACGUCUUCUUUUACGCCUCAUUUUAACUUCUCAUUUUUCAUUUCUCUCUCUCUCUUUCUCUUCUUUCUCUACCUCUCACCAUGUAAGCUCCCGAGCAAAAAGCUUUCUUCAAAGCUUUCCUCAUUUCUCCCAUUGUAAGGUAUUCAACUUCUCCUUAUUAUAAGUAUUUUUUGUGUUUGUUUUCAAGUUAUGUAAAUAAAGUUUAUGGUUCAUUCUCUUUAAAUUUCUUUGUUUAGAUAUCUGUGUAUUUUUCGAUUUCUUAAUAAUAUACAUUUAUCAUUUUUUUCCUAGAUGCUUUUAUCAAGAAUAUUUUAUUUUUACAUUAUUAAUUAUUAAUUUGUUUUUAUUUUAAUUGUAUUUUUAAUAUUUUAUUUUGAUUUUAUCAUUGAUGGCAACUAAUGGAGUUGCGAUAGAUAAGAAGAUAACUUGUGUCAAGGAUGAUCAAGACGAAAGGAAAGAGAUCGGAUGUACCAAUGACCAACGAUAGCAAACAGAAGACCCCGAAAGUAGCAAAGAGCAGCGCCAACAAAUGGAAGAAAGCGGUGGUCGAUGAAAAUGUUGAGAUUUGUAAGAAGGCCACCUUUGAUCGAGCUACUAUAGACCCUCCAUUUUGUCCUUCUAGCACAUGUCCUAUUAUGUGUUUGUUUGGUACUUUACAACAAUUCCCUAGUGGCCCAUUAUUACUCAUGUAGCUUAUCUUAUAGGAGCCACCUUGGAGACUCUGAUUGAGAGAUUUAUCUAACCCCAUUUUGACCCUUGACAGGUCUAAUCUAGACUUAGGCAUUGACUUAAAUAUCCUAGGCACCUUCUAGCUUACACACACUCACUUUAGGUCAUUUAGGCACUUUUAGACUCACUCUUUAUAUGACUUGCAUGAUUGCAUGACCUGCAUGACUCAUGUGACUUGUAUGGUUUUCUUUAUUAUUUUUAUUUUAUUUUAUUAUAUUAUAAGUUUUCUAUCUCAUAUUUCUUGGCAUUUUUGGCAUGAGAAAAUAGACUGUUGGAAGGAGAAUUACGAGAAUUUUUAAGAAAGGAAAGUGGCAAAGAUUUUUUAUGGAAUAAUGUAAGAAUAGGAAGAGGAGAAGAUUCCAAGCUACAAGGAAAGAACAAAAAAAAAAAAAAAAGUAAUUGAAAAAAAAAGAAAAAAAAAAAAGGGGUUCUCAAAAGAGGAUUUUUUUAGCGUGCAUAUUAGAUCUAAAGAAAAUGGAGAAUUUUGGGAAGUGCUUUAGCAAAAAAAAAAAAAAAAAAAAGAAAAAAAAAGAAAAAAAAAAAGAAAAAAAAAGAAACUGGUGUUCAUCGUUUUUUUGGUGGGUUUUGGGGAAGCAGAACCUAUCUCGCUUGAAGCUGAGUAAUACUUCUCAAAGGUAGGUUCUUCUAGGUACGGUCACAUGAAAUUCGCAUCUUCUCAUCUCUAUAUGAUUUUUACAUUUUAUUUUGCAAGUCCUGACGUUAUCUUGUUGAUUGUUGUGGACUUUUAGGGUUGAUCGUUUCUCAUGUUGAAUGUGUUUAAACAUGAGCAUGCUCUGUUUUGGCUUUUAUUUUGGUCUUUUUUUAAUCUCUACUGUUAAUGGUUGAUGCGUGGAAUUGUCACAGAUAUUGCUAUCUAAGAAUCGUACCCUUUUUCUCUAAUAUCCCUACUUGUUUUUCAAGCCCAUUGACAAAACAAUGAAAUGUGGCUUGGCUUGGUUAUUCACUCUUUUCCUGUUUUUACUCUAUUUUCUGGAGUUCCUAUUUUCUUGUGUGUGUGUGUGUUUAUUUAUUUAUUUUUUUGGGUACCCUUUCUUCAUUAGGCAACAAUUUUUGGAAUUCUUGGAAUGGGAGAAUUGAGACUAUCUUGGGGAGUAAAAGAAAAAUUAGAAUGUCUGGAUACAGUGUUGAAUCCCAAUUCUCUGAUCUUCUGAAUUUAUAUUGUGACUUUGGCAUGUUAAUGGCCUUUAUUGAUUAAGUGCUGAUGAUCCUUUAAACCUGUGGCUCGGAGAAGGUCACCAAUUGCAUCAUUCGGGUUCUUCUGUUUCUAUUAGAGUCAUUAGUAAAAAGGAAGAUGAGGAGCAGAGGUUUUUUUUUUUUUAAAUGCCGUGACGUGAUCAUCAUUCCAUUGUCACAUUGCCCAUUUUGUUUGAGAAUUAGAUUCAAUCUGGACCAGAGAUAUACAUACUAACAGAAUGAUGCUACUGUGGCAAAGUUAUUGAUUUCAUUGAUGGCAUUCUAUUGGAUAGGCCAAACUCCUAUGAUCCAAUUUUGGUGCAUUGUUUGUGCGGGCAAGAAUUAAAAAUCAAUUUAAAAAGGUCCUUAUAAAACAAGAAACUGAAUUUGAAACCAAAGCGGUCGUGAGUGGCAUUUUCAAGACGUUGUUCCUAAUUCCAAAAAACAUUCCAGAUCAGUAGGAGACUUCAAGAUGGAAAUUAAAGAACUUCCCAUGACUACUAAAUUCGAUACUUUGUUUUGAACAUAAUGGAGUCUCGUGAGUCCUGGUAUCAUGGCUCUAUGAUGUAUUUCUCGUCAACAAAUCCUCAGGUUAUAUUGAACGAAGUUCAAAGGAAUCUCGAGUUCUUGAAGCCUGGUAGGACAACAUUGAUUCAGAAAACUUCGCAAAUUAUCACAAGAAUAAGAGAGAUGAAAUUUAGUUUCAUGCUCUGUCUGACUAGUUCUAUCGUGCGCCUGAGCACUACAAACCUGUGAGCGAAUAAUUCAUUAAAUAGCCUCAAUAUAAUCCAGGACUUUAUGAAGGUUAUUUUCCAAUAACAGUCUUCUAAAUCAUCAUGGCACAAAGUAUGACCCCUUUUCCAAUGAACAGAAUGCUAACAGUCUCUGUUACUACUUUUAAACUGGUUUUUUAUGUGAAAUGACAAGCUUAGAUUCAAGACUUAUUAUUGGUUUGAUUUGGUCAUGAAAGACGAAGUGUUGCGCUCAGUAGCUUGGUUGAUUGGCACCAAUGAUGGCAAGUUUUGGAGCAUUCAUAUCAGCUUUGAAGAGCCCAUGAAACGGUAUGUUGUGGAUGGAGACUUGGAGUUAGUUUUUCAUGCAUGAAACAAUGAUGGCAAUAUAAUGCACCAGUGGCUCGGGUCCCAGAACUUGUUCCUAUGCUGUGCUUAAUGGGUACAUAAUUUCACUUACAGGCUAACGCAUGUAAAAACAAGAAGGCUACUUGGUUUGAAGACCAAAAUGUGGUUCACGGGUUAACUAGGAGAAAUGUGAAGCAUGUCGAGAGACAACUCGUUUAUGUUUAUGCUAUUAUUUUCAUGGGUUUCUCACUUAUACUUCAGAGUUCAGCUCAAAGAUCUGAAGAGGUCUGAUGAAGACAAACUUCCCAUGAAUUACCAAAAAAAUAUAAACGGUGGUUAAAGAGGUAGUCCGGAUCAGUAAUGGACCAGAAAGUGGGAUACUCCUGAUGAAGUUUACCUUGGAGGUGUCAAAUUGAGUUCUACAACAUUUCAUUCUGUCACAAUCAACAAGGGACGGUCUGGAAUUCAUGAAAAUGCUCUCAAUAGAUCAGUCUCAAUAAAUCUCAGUGGUGGGGAUGGUGUAUCAACUACCAAAGCUACAGAGAAAGCAUUGGUUAUCGAAUUUGAGUAGCAUAACGCAUCAGGCAAUUCCAGUAAUGGUCCUGAUAACUUAGUCUCUAUGAAUCCACCUUCUUCAAAAGAUUAGAUUCCUAAUGGAACUAUACCAAAUUUCUCUGAAUUAGGAACUCAGUUAGAAGUUCAUGACACUUGUCAGGGUGAAGUGGAGUUUGGUGUGUCCAAUAGAGAGAACUGUAAGGCCGAGUUGACUGAUAGUGAAACAACAUUAGCUGGACUUCUAUUUGGGAGAUAACCUUGCAGAAAGAGAACUCGAGAAGACAAUAUGGAACCACUCCCUCUCAUGAAAAGUGAAAGUAGAUCAUUCAUAAUAUCAGUAUCCAAUCAAAAUCAAAGAACUACAUUUGUCUAUUUUUUUUUUAGGUUUGGGAAUGGAAGAAAUCGGAAAAUUUUAUCCUGAAGACUUAUUGGAGAAGUUAGAGAAUGAGUCGAAUACUGUCAAGUCUUUCACAAAUCAUAAUUAUGAAAAUGAUAUAAAAAAAAUGCAAGUUUAGUGCCCGGUUUGCUGAGAAUCUGAUCAAAGAGAUUGCAGCUUUGAAGUUGGAGAUGUUUGUCUACGACAAUAGCUCCUCUCAUUACAGUUGAGAGGUAGAGGAUGUUGCAUGACAUUUUUCUCAAAGCGAAUAGCAGGGAACUACAGACAGAAGUAUUAAAUAGGAUGUUUAAGGUUUUCUUAGGUCAUCUUGAAAACUACAAAUGGUGUUAACAGCUAAGGGCUAUGCCUCUCCCUAUUUUAAAUAUGGAAGGUUUUCCUUCAUCUUUGCAAGGGAUCAUCUUAAAAAUUCUUGAAUAUGCUGCGACUGUUGUGAACUGCAUUUCUGAGAAAGAAUUGUUUGCACUUUGCUUUUUGUUGAAGCAGCUAAUCACGUUUGAAUUAAAGCACACCAUUCUUUCAUUUUUUUUGUAAAACUCCUAUCCUUUGAUCAAUAGUACAAUAAAGUGCUGUAAAAAGUUGGUGUGCUGGAAAUUCUGUUGGAUGAUCUGAAGCAGCGCAAGUUUCUUUUGGGUGCAAAUCAACACAAUGGUAAUCCUGAUUAACUGGAGAGAAAAUCUAUCUCCAGCAACUUCAAGAAACACUCUGGCAGUAAGGAUGAUAUCAUAUCUUCAUCAAAGCUAAUUAAAUCCGGUUCUGGGAAGUUUCCUCUUUUUGAAAUUAAAAGUACAAUUGUUGUUGCAUGAGAAAAAGACUUCCAAAUUUAAAAUUUUCGGAAUCAAGGAGAGCAUAAAAUCUCUGAGCAAAUCUAAAUAGCAAAGGAGAAACAAGAGGGUGGUGGAGUUUGGUAUCUUUUAGGUAGCUAAUCUCAAAAGUAUAGGAAUGUAGGAUCCAUCAAAAAGUCUCUAGCUUACUACCCCUUUUUCCUUCACACACACGAAGUUACUGAAUCCUAUUGACUGAGGGUUAAUUUCUUAUUAUGGGCAAUAUCCAGAUUCCAUCCUUCAUUUCGAUCAUGGUUUCAUCUUCUUUGGAUGAUCAAGAGGAAAAUGAUUCUGCAUCUCAACCUUCUGUUCCUAAUUAAGAAUUCUCCGGUUGAAAGUCCCUAUUAAAAGUAUUUGGUGAUUCUCAUAGAUAAUUUGAUGAUUCGACAUGUCCAUUUGAUGAAUAUGGAUUCCCAUUCCAGCUUCAGGCCAAAUGCUUUACAGAUUCAGGGCAAAAACUGCACUCGAAACGACCAAUACCCUUUUCUCAUAUCUGAUUUCUCAUUCUGGAGCAUAUCAAGUAACCAUCAAACUUCCUCAUCAGCAACCUCGCUAAAGAGUAAUCUUCAAAUAAUUAAAAAUAGAGUGCAUAAUGACAUGCAUGCCAAAACAACCUUGUAAGGAGGAAGUCAUUGAAAGAAUUGUGGGGCUCUCUAGGUAUUAGAUAAUGGAUCACUACUAGUAUGAGUUUUUUUACAUGUUGCAGUUGGAAAUUAGAGAUGAGCAUGAUGAAGUCAAGCAUAGUGAAGCUCGCAUGUUUAGAAGAGAGUGAUUUGUCGUCCACAAUUGUUGAUCAAGUUCAUGUUUGGUUAGUUUUUAAGGAAGCAAAGAGUUUCUCCAUUUAGGCAUGCAACUUAUGGAUUUAUACAAUACCUUUCAUAUUAGUCUGCGAAACUUUUUAUGACAACCAGUUAGCUAGCUUGUUGGGCUUUGUGGAGCCUAGUUUUGUUUGAUCCGGUUUGACGACCCGACCCGAAUAAUAUUGCAUGGCUUUUUAAUGAGAGAUUUAUUAAGGCUUGUUGGGCCCGUUUAGCCCAUUGUGGAACCACCUUUUGUAAUUAGGGUUUUUUAGUGUGGUGGGGUUGCCGUGUUAUAUAUAUAUAGAGAAUAUUGUAGCCGCUAGGUUGUACUCUGUAUUCUUCUCUGAUAAUAGUGAUAUCCCUACAACUCUGUAGACGUAGGCAAAUUGCCGAACCACGUAAAUACUGUCUUGUGCGUGUGAUUGUUUUUCUUUGGUGUGUGUUUUCUCUAAUUUUUGUUUCUCACGGGUUGGGAAUUCGGUUUAAUUCCCUACAACUUGUAUCAGAGCCUAGGGUUAGGUUUGAGUGGGAGCAAUGGCAGAGGAAGUAGGAAAGGCGUCUGGAAUAGAAAAGUUUGAUGGCACAGACUUUGUGUAUCGGAGGAUGCAGAUUGAAGAUUAUCUCUAUGGGAGGAAAUUGCAUCUGCCACUUUUGGAGACAAAACCUGAGAGUAUGAAGGCUGAGGAAUGGGCACUUCUUGAUAGAUAGGUUCUAGGAGUUAUUAGGUUAACUAUGUCUAGGUCUAUUGCACAUAAUGUUGUAAAGGAGAAGACCACAACAGAUUUGAUGAAGGCUUUGUCCGGUAUGUAUGAAAAGCCGUCCGCAAACAAUAAGGUGUAUCUGAUGAAGAAAUUGUUCAAUUUGAAGAUGGCAGAGAAUGCAUCAGUAACACAACAUCUGAAUGAAUUUAAUACAAUCACAAACCAAUUGUCGUCUGUAGAAAUUUAUUUUGAUGAUGAGAUUCGUGCUCUGAUCGUCUUGGCUUCUUUGCCAAACAGUUAGGAGGCAAUGAGGAUGGCAGUAAGCAAUUCUACGGGAAAGGAAAAGCUCAAGUACAAUGAUAUACGAGAUUUAAUUAUGGCUGAGGAGAUUCGCCGAAGAGAUGCAGGUGAAACCUCAGGAUCUGGUUCUGCCUUAAACCUUGAGACAAGAGGCAAAGGUAAUGACAGAAAUUCAAAUUGGGGUAGAUCAAAUUCCAGAAAUUCUAAUCGGAACAGAAACAAAUCUAGAUUAGGCCAACAAGUAUAAUGCUGGAAUUGUGGGAAAACAGGUCACUUUAAAAGGCAAUGCAAAAGCCCUAAGAAGAAGAAUGAAGAUGAUUCUGCUAAUACUGUAAUAGAAGAGGUACAAGAUGCAUUACUUCUUGCAGUAGACAGUCCACUUGAUGAUUGGGUUUUGGAUUCAGGAGCUUCGUUUCAUACCAUUCCACACCGAGAAAUCAUACAGAAUUAUGUUUUAGGUGAUUUUGGUAAGGUGUAUUUGGCUGAUAGUUCAGCCUUGGAUGUUGUGGGUUUGGGAGACGUCUGGAUAUCGUUGCCCAAUGGGUCUGUUUAGUUACUGGAGAAGGUUCGACAUAUUCCUGACCUGAGGAGGAAUCUGAUUUCUGUUGGACAACUUGAUGAUGAAGGAGAUGCAAUACUAUUUGUUGGUGGUACUUGGAAGGUUACAAAGGGAGCUAGGGUAUUGGCUCGUGGAAAGAAGACUAGUACUUUGUAUAUGACCUCAUGUCCAAGAGACACAAUUGCAGUUGUUGAUGCAAGUACUGAUACAAGCCUAUGGCACCGUAGACUUGGUCACAUGAGUGAGAAAGGGAUGAAGAAGUUGCUGUCAAAAGGAAAACUACCAGAAUUGAAGUCCAUUGAUUUUGACAUGUGUGAAAGUUGCAUCUUAGGAAAGCAAAAAAAGGUGAGCUUCUUGAAAACUGGCAAGACAUCGAAGGCUGAAAAAUUGGAACUAGUACACGCUGAUUUGUGGGGCCUUCUCCGGUUGCAUCCCUAGAAGGUUCAAGGUACUACAUCACUUUUAUUGAUGACUCAAGUAGAAAGGUAUGAGUUUAUUUUCUGAAAAAUAAAUUUGAUGUAUUUGAAAUUUUUAAGAAGUGGAAGGCCAUGGUUGAGACAGAAACAAGUUUGAAAGUAAAAUGUUUGAGGUCAGAUAAUGGAGGAGAGUACAUAGAUGGAGGGUUCAGUGAGUAUUGUGCUGCACAGGGAAUUAGGAUGGAGAAGACCAUUCCUGCGACACCACAACAAAAUGGUGUGGCUGAGCGCAUGAACAGAACUCUCAAUGAGCUUGCUAGAAAUAUGAGGUUGCAUGCUGGACUACUAAAAACUUUUUGGGCUGAUGCUGUUAGCACUGUAGCUUACUUGAUAAACUGAGGACCAUCAGUUCCCAUGGAGUUCAGACUUCCUGAGAAGGUUUGGAGCGGUAAAGAGGUGAAGUUUUCACAUUUAAAAGUUUUUGGUUGUGUUUCUUAUGUUCAUAUUGAUUCUGAUGCUCAUAGUAAACUUGAUGCAAAAUCAAAAAUAUGUUUUUUCAUUGGCUAUGGUGAUGAGAAAUUUGGCUGUAGGUUUUGGGAUGAACAAAACAGGAAAAUCAUCAGAAGUAGAAAUGUGAUAUUUAAUGAACAGGUUAUGUACAAGGACAGGUCAACUGUAGUGUCAGAUGUUACAAAGAUAGAUUAAAAGAAAUCUGAGUUUGUCAACUUAGAUGAAUUGACUGAAAGUAUUGUCCAAAAAGGGGGUGAAGAAGAUAAGGAGAAUGUAAAUUCAUAGGUAGAUUUGAGUACACCUGUAGCUGAAGUUCGCAGAUCUUUCAGGAACAUUAGACCUUCGCAUCAUUAUUCACCUGUUUUAAAUUAUCUCCUAUUGACUGAUGGUGGUGAGCUAGAGUGUUAUGAUGAAGCCUUGCAAGAUGAGAAUUCAAGCAAGUGGGAGUUAGCCAUGAAGGAUGAGAUGGAUUCCCUGUUGGGGAAUCAGACAUGGGAACUGACUGAAUUGCCAGUAGGAAAGAAGGCUUUGCACAGUAAGUGGGUAUACAGAAUAAAGAAUGAGCAUGAUGCUAGCAAAUGUUACAAGGCCAGAUUAGUUGUUAAAGGGUUCCAACAGAAGGAGGGCAUUGACUACACAAAGAUAUUUUCUCCAGUUGUGAAGAUGUCAACAAUUAGACUUGUACUUGGAAUGGUGGCUGCAGAAAACUUACAACUUGAGCAGUUAAAUGUGAAGACAACAUUCUUUCAUGGUGACUUGGAGGAAGACCUUUACAUGAUUCAGCCAGAAGGGUUCAUUGUUCAAGGACAAGAGAAUCUAGUUUGCAAACUGAGAAAGAGCUUGUAUGGCCUUAAACAAGCUCCUAGACAGUGAUAUAAGAAGUUUGACAAUUUUAUGCAUAGAAUUGGGUUCAAGAGAUGUGAAGCUGAUCACUGUUGCUAUGUUAAGUCAUUUGACAAUUCUUACAUCAUAUUACUGUUGUAUGUGGAUGAUAUGCUUAUUGCAGGUCUGACAUUGAGAAGAUUAAUAAUCUGAAGAAGCAAUUGUCCAAACAGUUUGCAAUGAAGGAUUCGGGAGUUGCAAAGCAAAUCCUUAGAAUGAGAAUCAUUAGAGACAAGGCUAAUGGUACAUUGAAGCUUUCACAAUCAGAGUAUGUGAAGAAAGUUCUCAGCAGGUUCAACAUGAAUGAAGCUAAACCAAUGAGCACACCCUUGGGUAGUCAUUUCAAACUAAGCAAAGAACAGCCAUCGAAGACAGAAGAAGAAAAAGACCAUAUGAGUAAGGUGCCCUAUGCCUCAACUAUUGGCAGCUUGAUGUAUGCUAUGGUGUGUACAAGGCCAGACAUUGCACAUGCAGUGGGAGUUGUGAGCAAAUUCAUGAGUAGGUCUGGAAAGCAGCAUUGGGAGGCAGUCAAGUGGAUUUUAAGAUAUCUAAAGGGUUCAUUAGAUACAUGUCUUUGCUUCACAUGUGUAAGUUUGAAACUGCAGGGUUAUGUAGAUGCUGAUUUUGCUGGUGAUAUUGAUAGUAGAAAGAGUACUACUGGGUUUGUUUUUACUCUAUGUGGUACAGCUAUAUCAUGGACUUCAAAUCUACAGAAGAUUGUUACUUUGUCUACUAUAGAAGCUGAGUAUGUUGCAGCAACUGAAGUUGAAAAGGAGAUGAUUUGGGUACAUGGUUUCUUAGAUGAAUUGGGUAAGAAGCAGGGGAUGGGCAUUCUACACAGUGACAGUUAGAGUGCAAUUUUUCUUGCCAAAAAUUCGACUUUUCAUUCAAAGUCGAAACAUAUACAAACAAAAUACCACUUUAUCUGUUAUCUUGUUGAGGAUAAACUGGUGAUACUUGAGAAAACUUGUGGAUCUAAGAACCCUAUAGACAUGUUGACUAAGGGUGUCGCUAUUGAGAAGUUGAAGCUGUGUGUAGCUUCAAUUGGUCUUCUAGCUUGAGGACAGGAGGAUGAGUUGUAGGAAUGAGGGAUUGUUUCUUGGAGGAUAACGAUUUGAUGUUGGUGAUUGGACUAGUCUCCAAGUGGGAGAUUUGUUGGGCUUUGUGGAGCCUAGUUUUGUUUGAUCCGGUUUGACGACCCGACCCGAAUAAUAUUGCAUGGCUUUUUAAUGGGAGAUUUAUUAAGGCCUAUUGGGCCCGUUUAACCCAUUGUGGAACCACCUUUUGUAAUUAGGGUUUUUUAGUGUGGUGGGGUUGUCGUGUUAUAUAUAUAGAGAGAAUAUUGUAGCCGCUAGGUUGUACUCUAUAUUCUUCCCUGAUAAUAGUGAUAUCCCUGCAACUCCGUGGACGUAGGCAAAUUGCCAAACCACAUAAAUACUGUCUUAUGCGUGUGAUUGUUUUUCUUUGGCGUGUGUUUUCUCUAAUUUUUGUUUCUUACGGGUUGGGAAUUCGGUUUAAUUCCCUACAUAACUAUGAUUGUGAAUCUUUGAAACAGAAAAUUCUUCCUUUGAUGUUUUCCACACAUCCACUUUGACACUCAAAGAGGGUUCUGAAGUGAAAAUCUAUGACGAAAUGAUAAGAUUGGGAUUAUAGGCACUGAUAGAAAAUUUUCGAAAGUAUGUUCAACUUGCCCCACACUAAUAGCUCGGUAUUGCCCAGAAGCUCUAUAGAUAUGACAAGCUUCAAGAAUAAAACGUCUUUGGGUACUGGAUAUAGUAGAAGACAAAGAUCUGGAAGUGUUUAUUUUAGCACCAAUGAGGAAAGGCCACCUUCGAUGCACAGUCCUGAACAGCCCUACGACUACCCCUCUUCUGGUCAAGUUCAAGAUUACCUUGCUACUAGUUCUCUCUUUCAUAGGCAUGGCCACCUUUUUUCCUU